UAUCUGUUAACGCAGGGAAUGUUUUCUGCAGGAACUAAAAAUAAUGAGGGUAAAUUGCAAUACUAAAAUUAAGCAGAAAAAAACCCUUUUGAAGUAUUGCCCUGUAGGACUAGCUUAGACUAGUUUGGUCAGGUUUGGGAAGUGUUAGAAGAUGGAGAAGCUGAAAAUGUGGUGAAUCUUGCUUCUGACAUGACAGAAAAGGCAUUUUACCCAUCUCAUCACUGAGAGAUGUAAGACUGAGCAAGACAGAGACAAACCCUCUAAAGGAUUUUGAUGUGGAAAAAACCAUGACAAGCAGGGGAAAUGCCUGUGUUUUUUCUUUACAUUCUACUAAUGUUGUGAUUCUUAAGAAGCCAAAGAAGACUUCUUGUACUGAUUUGGCUUUUGCAUUGGAUACACACAUUUCUCUAUUUUGAAGCAUACCAGAGGGAGCAAACUAAAUGCAUUUACGUGGAGGAGGUUUCUGAGAAGACUGAUGCUGGGGUAUCACUGUAAAGGUAAAAAAAGGUCAUACGAUGAAACCCCACAGACAUUACAGACUCCACCUUAAAUUUAAUAUCCCAUGAGGACAAUAAGACCGAUAUGAUGAGAAGAAGGUGACUCCUUGGUGUUCGUACCAUUAACUGACCUAAUAAUAUAAGGAUAUCAAAAUAAAAUUGAGUCAGUACUUUAAUCAGUGAUGUUCCUGUAAUGGAAUACCCAUGGAAUGACCAUAUAAUCAUACCAUAUAACCAGCAUGUAUGUCUAUCCAUAUUUCAGCUUGGCUUUUCUAGAAGACAGAUAUUUUAUCAGGGAAGAUAUGAAACGAUUAUUUGAAUUUUAUUAAUAACUAUUUUCAGGUUACCUAGUCAAACAACACUCAGAGUCACCUACAAUACAUUGCCCACAAACUAAUUUUAUGCAAAUUACUUUAAUUUAUUAAAAAAGCAUCCCUUACUAUUGCAUCUAUAAUUCUAUCUAGCUUCCUAUAAGAUUGGACAUAAUAGGUGGAUGUCAUGAAGGAAGAAUCAUCCAUCCUCUCCAAGUUCACAGCAAAUACCAACUGUCAUUCUUUCUAGAUAAAAGUUUUAAUGUGAAAGUACUGUUACAAAUGCAAUCCAGAUUUACCCAUUAGGCAGUAACCACAAAUUCUGCUGCUGACUUUUGAAAAUUGUCCCAGGGCUGAAGAACACAGGACGUGCAUAAUAGCAUAAAGUCUAAGUAGCUGACAGGCAGAAGCACAGAUGUGAUAGUACCUCCCAGAUGCUCACAGUCCCAUUUGAGGUACAGCUGGUACUGGUGUGCUUCUGACCUGAAAGGUAGCCCAGAAGUCCCUGCUUACUUGCUUCCACCCAAAUCGUUGAGAUGAUGUAAGUCCAUCCCUUUGUCCUUCACCUUGGGGCCAAAAGUCUAUGGAAGCCAUUAAAGAAUUGCAGUGAUUCAAAUAUUUAUUUGGGGUUGAAGAAGAAUUCAGGAAAGGCUGCAAUGAACAGGAAGGGCAGGGAAAAUUUAUUGUUUAAAAAACCCAGAAAUUUUGUGUAAAAACAAACAAGAUUUUCAGCUCUAUAGCACCUUGAAACAAAAGCUCUCCUAGCUGGAUAAUCUGAGUUGAAUGUGCAAAGACUGUAGUCCCUCAGGGGGCAGCUGCACCAUGUGGAGCCUUGUCUGUGAGACACAGUCUCUUCAGGGGUGUACCUGCUCUGGCAUAGACUUAUCCACAGCCACCAUCCCUUUGAGGUGCACCUGUUCCAGCAGGGCCUUCUCCAGGGGCCAAUGCCUUCAGAAAUAGACCUGCUCCAGCAUGGCCUUACCCACAGCCACAAUCCUUUCAGAAGUAAACCUGCUCCAACCUGGCCUCACCCUUGGAUGCAGUCCCUCCAGGGGUGUUCCUGCUCUGUCGUGGUCUUACCCAUGGCCACACGCUUUGAGGUGCUCCAGCACGACCUCAUGCACAGCCACUUGUGCUACAAGCUGCACCUGCUUCAGCAUGGAUCAUCCACAACCACAGAUGCUUCCAAGAGUACCUUCUCCCGCGUGGACUUCUGCUUGGGCCACAGCCCCUUCAGAGGUACCCCUGCUGCAACACAGACGCAACCGCAGAUGCAGAGUGUCUCAUCCACAGGGGAUGGUCUCUUCGACUCAAGUUCACACUGGAGUUCCAGCCUGUCCAGGACAGCAGCACAGAACCAGCAGCAAUGCCCUGGCAACCUGCCAGCCCAGGCCCAUCACCACUGCUGUUAUCAAAAUAUUCCCAGGAACAACACUACAGCAAGGAGCGAAAGCAAGAACUGCCCGCUGAUGAACAUUGAGAUCUAAUACACAUCUGGGCAAGCAAGGCCCAUGGCAAGCACAGGAGCCUGCCAAUUGAUAGCUAAACAGCAAUAAACUAAGAUAUAAAACCAAUGUAGCAUAUUUCAAUGUCUGAAUGUCCCCUCCUUCCUUCUUGCCCCAGCUUUCUAACAAAAAAACUGCACAUUUUUUUCCAAAAAACUAAAAUCUUACUUCUUAGCAUUCUCAUUAUUACACAGUGAUAAACCUCUGAAUGUCCCCUCCUUCCUUCUUGCCCCAGCUUUCUAACAAAAAACUGCACAUUUUUUUCCAAAAAAAUAAAGCUUGCUUCUUAGCAUUCUCAUUAUCCCACAGUGAUAAACCCCUAAUCUUUCACCAGAAAUAAUUACUGAUACUAUUUGUUCAAAGUAUUCCGUACCUAUAUUAUGAGAUAAUGAAUCAUUCCUGAUAGAAUUCAAUGCAGCUUCGUAUUUGAAUGUUCCAUGAAGUGUUCAGCACAAGGACACUGUAUUUUAAAAAAAUUAUAAAACCCAACAUAUUUAGGAGCAAAUCUAGCUGAUGCUAUGCAGUGGUUGAUAUUUGAGCCAACAUGUUCACAGGCACAUAAUAGCACCAUGAAGAAACACUAGGUAAGGUUUUGAAACAGCAUAACUGCUUUCCAGCUAAUUAGUCUGAACGCAACAUGCCACCAACUGCAGUUAACAGUACUAGCUCAGUAAUACACCAGGGAUUUCUGCUCCGUUACACAGUACAGACUCCCCUGCAAUAUUGUGCAUCUUACAUUUUUCAGGUGCUUUUCCAUGUCUCCUGGUUGUACAUCAAUUUUCAUGUAUCUGCAGAUUUACACUGAAUAAUUGUAAAAAACAAAUGCUGUAUAAAGCAUCUGGAAUAUGUGCAAAAAAAAUUGGUUAAUUCUAGGUGUUUCUUAAUCUAUGGGACAUUCCUUGCAGACAUUAUGCUCUGGGGCUGGGAUCAUAGACCCAGAGAAUUAAGAUUUUGUACCACUUCCGUCCUCCUUUGAAAGAUGGGCUUGUAGGUGGAAUAAAUAAAAGAAAACAAAUUCCCUGUUAUCAUUCAUGGCUCAAGUGUGGGUAGGCUCCGCCUGCUUUCUCAUGACUUGAGGUGGGACCCUGAAUGUCAAACUUUUCUUUCCUAUUUGGCUCCCUGACCAGAGGUGGCUUCAAGGCUCAGCAAGGACUCAAGCUCUGGUUGACAGUUUUCCUGUCCUUGCAAACUGUGGCAAACACACACUUUUUGACCAUACAUAAGAGCAGUGAAGCAUCGAGGUGCUCUGGCUCGCUGCUGAAGGACUCUGGUGGCUUCCUAUGAACUGUUUUACCCCACUGUCAGACAAAUCAAGACCCGGUGUGCAACUGGGCCCAAGGGGGAAGCUGGCCCAGCAAUAAUAAAAUUAUUUUGUUACUUUUUCUUUAAGCAGGGCUUUUGGGCACAGAGCAGCUGCUCAGCAACACCACUUUGCUGUAAGGCUUUUGGUGGAGCAAACUUGGCAAUGGAACUACAAUAAAACCAGAGAAGGGACAUCCCUGAGACAGCAAACCCAAGAAGAGGAAUAGUGUUUCCUGAAUUGGCAUCACUGCACAUAAGGGAUGGAGAAGUAAGCUACAAAAGAGAUGCUGACUAUAAAACCACACCACUAUAUCCUUGGUGCUGUUUUUUAAAAGGCUUUUCUCAGUAACCCAGCUCAUGUGCCAGCUCUCUGACAAACUGUACAGUGGGCUUGUCCAUGUGGAAGUCUCCAAGAAAUAAGAUAUAACGAUUACUUGCAAUAUAAAGCACUGGUAAAUAAUUUGGCUUGAUUUAAUCUUGAUACAAUAUUUUUAAAAAGAAAAAUCAUCUGAGGGUCAAAGGCUGAAUCAGGACCCAGCUGAUCUGCAUCUUUUCCUGGGCCUUUUCAGCACAGUCCACAGCCUUGGACUAGUCACUUCAUGGCUCCAUACCUUCAUUUUCCUCUCUACAGAAUGGACUAUAGACAUUCCUGCCCUGUGAGGUGUUUCAAGGAAGUUUCAGAAGAAGGAUGCUAUUUAUGAGCAAACAGCCACCAACCAGUAAAUAACCUCAUAUUGAGUUUGAUGGCUGCCCACCAAUCAGUAUCACAAUUACCAGUGUGACUGUGUGCAGAACAUCCAGUAAUAUCUGUCUUUAGGACUGCUUUCACUCCCCUUUCACGAACAAUGCAUUAGCCUGGCAUUUUCAACCAUUCUUUCUUUGUUCUAAACAACUGCCCUCUCUAUUUUGUCUGCUUGGGCAUAAAAAUUAAAUAAACAAACCAACCUGAUCUAGUGAUGAUUCAUUUGGGGUCCAGGACCAUACAAGUGAGAAAACAUGCAGUAUUUCUUCAUGUUUAUCACCACUGGGGACUCUACCUCUUUUCCAGUGAAACCUGCUGUGUUAUGCAUGCACCUCACCUUGCCUGCACAUGGCUUUGUUUGCUUAUACUGUUCUAUGCCUAUCUGCCCCUCCUGUGUACACAUUUAUUAUAUAAAUAACUCUGACUUAGUGACUUUUCUGUGAUCUACCCAUGACACUUAACAGUAAGCUGCUCAAGUUCAAAAGUAAUGCACUGAUAUUAGACACAACGAUAAAACUCUCCCAAAACAAGAAAACAAAAACAUAUAGUGAAUGCUUGACCUUGGUGUGGUGGAAAAUCAUGUGUGUUCCCAUGGUUGUGCAGAUGCUCCAAUGGCAGUGGUGGUGCAAGCAUGACCCUGUGAUCGCCCAAGUUGAACAGAUAGGCUUCAGAGCAAGGGAUGUGGCACUGGUCUUCCAGUGUCCCUAUGAAAACAUGAGGAAACUCAAAUAAGCCAUGGAAAGAACAGAAAUAACCAGGUCACCACAUAAGGAUUUAUGACAUUGACCAUGAAAAUGCAUUGACUCUUUGGAGUGUUUAUGUGCACUCUUAACAGGAGCUAGAACAUGCUUCAAAGACUUGUACAACUCAUGGCGAAGGAAUGACAUUAAUUUGUAUUGAUCCAUUUUAAGAUAAUAUUAGGAGGAAUAUUGUUAUCCCAUAAAUACAUUCAUAGGUGUAUGCGGUUUUGACUAUCAAGCAGAUUGGCCCAAGGGGAACUAAUUGCAAAUUGGACUAUUAUCUGCGAGUCAGUGAUAUAAUG
This is a long non-coding RNA of Corvus hawaiiensis (hawaiian crow), 5399 nucleotides long. RefSeq lists it as uncharacterized. Lineage: Eukaryota; Metazoa; Chordata; Aves; Passeriformes; Corvidae. The record is from RefSeq and is a predicted model, not a curated record. The transcript is spliced from 3 exons.